This 466-nucleotide ribosomal RNA is filed under the name uncultured bacterium. Its description in RNAcentral is "partial 16S ribosomal RNA". It matches the Rfam family "Bacterial small subunit ribosomal RNA", at positions 28 to 507 of the family's 1533-position model. The record is from RNAcentral.
GAUGAACGCUGGCGGCGUGCUUAACACAUGCAAGUCGAACGGAAAGGCCCAAGCUUGCUUGGGUACUCGAGUGGCGAACGGGUGAGUAACACGUGGGUGAUCUGCCCUGCACUUCGGGAUAAGCCUGGGAAACUGGGUCUAAUACCGGAUAGGACCACAUUUUGGAUGGUGUGGUGGAAAGUUUUUCGGUGUGGGAUGAGCUCGCGGCCUAUCAGCUUGUUGGUGGGGUAAUGGCCUACCAAGGCGUCGACGGGUAGCCGGCCUGAGAGGGUGUACGGCCACAUUGGGACUGAGAUACGGCCCAGACGCCUACGGGAGGCAGCAGUGGGGAAUAUUGCACAAUGGGCGCAAGCCUGAUGCAGCGACGCCGCGUGGGGGAUGACGGCCUUCGGGUUGUAAACGCCUUUCGCUAGGGACGAAGCGUUAUGUGACGGUACCUGGAGAAGAAGCACCGGCUAACUACGUG